RNAcentral lists this unclassified non-coding RNA (286 nucleotides) under Hevea brasiliensis (rubber tree). The record is from RNAcentral. Lineage: Eukaryota; Viridiplantae; Streptophyta; Magnoliopsida; Malpighiales; Euphorbiaceae.
AAGCGAUGAGUCAACAGCUCGUUGUCUCUUGCUCAAACUGUUCUCUGGGCAUCAAUGGUUUUGAACUCUUAGACAAUUUGCGAUGAUCCUUUUUCUCUUCUCGUGCAUCAAUAAUCCCUACCAAUCAUGCGAGUUGCUGUUGGUUUUACUAUCUCUCUUUACUUUUGUUAACUCUGACUGUGAGACUUAAGUGAAAUGAGCAAUUACUACUUAAUUUACGCAAAUUGACAGUGAAAGGGAUUAAGUAAUUUUGUAAUUAAUUACUUUCAACAAGAUAAAUUAUAAU